CCAUCUCUUCUUCUUCAACAUCAGAACUACAUUUUCCGGAUUCAAAGUGUUUAUUUCAAUCGGCGGCGUUGAAUAUACGAGAUGGUACGUUGUCUCCGGAUGUAAGAGAGCCUUUUUUAAACGAGUUAAGAGGAAUGAAUAUAAUCAAAUCAAACUGAAGGAUUAAUAAUUGGUUAAAUUAUGAGCUAUUCCGGUUUGGUUAAGUCCCACCGUUAUAUUCAUCUCCUCUGAAUUAAUCAAAUAG
Long non-coding RNA from Arabidopsis thaliana (thale cress), 244 nucleotides. RefSeq annotates it as other RNA. The record is from RefSeq. Lineage: Eukaryota; Viridiplantae; Streptophyta; Magnoliopsida; Brassicales; Brassicaceae. The transcript has a single exon.